Pelobates cultripes (western spadefoot toad) is the source of this 262-nucleotide non-coding RNA. Lineage: Eukaryota; Metazoa; Chordata; Amphibia; Anura; Pelobatidae. The record is from the annotation of a GenBank genome assembly.
ACUGUAUCUGUGUGUGUGUGUCUGCUUACAUGUGUGUGGCUCUGUGUGUAUGUGACUGUCUGCCCCUGUGUGUGCGUGUGUGUGGCUGUGUGUCUAUGUGUGACUGUAAAUGUGUGUUUGUGCGUGAGACUGCCUGCCUCUGUAUGUGUGUAUGUGUGGCUGUGUGUCUAUGUGUGACUGUAAAUGUGUGUUUGUGUGUGAUACUGUCUGCCUCUAUAUGUGUGGCUGUGUGCCUAUCUGUGACUGUAACUCUGUGUGUGUG